UGGGGGCUCCUAUAAUGCAAGUCGAACGAACUCUGGUAUUGAUUGGUGCUUGCAUCAUGAUUUACAUUUGAGUGAGUGGCGAACUGGUGAGUAACACGUGGGAAACCUGCCCAGAAGCGGGGGAUAACACCUGGAAACAGAUGCUAAUACCGCAUAACAACUUGGACCGCAUGGUCCGAGUUUGAAAGAUGGCUUCGGCUAUCACUUUUGGAUGGUCCCGCGGCGUAUUAGCUAGAUGGUGGGGUAACGGCUCACCAUGGCAAUGAUACGUAGCCGACCUGAGAGGGUAAUCGGCCACAUUGGGACUGAGACACGGCCCAAACUCCUACGGGAGGCAGCAGUAGGGAAUCUUCCACAAUGGACGAAAGUCUGAUGGAGCAACGCCGCGUGAGUGAAGAAGGGUUUCGGCUCGUAAAACUCUGUUGUUAAAGAAGAACAUAUCUGAGAGUAACUGUUCAGGUAUUGACGGUAUUUAACCAGAAAGCCACGGCUAACUACGUGCCAGCAGCCGCGGUAAUACGUAGGUGGCAAGCGUUGUCCGGAUUUAUUGGGCGUAAAGCGAGCGCAGGCGGUUUUUUAAGUCUGAUGUGAAAGCCUUCGGCUCAACCGAAGAAGUGCAUCGGAAACUGGGAAACUUGAGUGCAGAAGAGGACAGUGGAACUCCAUGUGUAGCGGUGAAAUGCGUAGAUAUAUGGAAGAACACCAGUGGCGAAGGCGGCUGUCUGGUCUGUAACUGACGCUGAGGCUCGAAAGUAUGGGUAGCAAACAGGAUUAGAUACCCUGGUAGUCCAUACCGUAAACGAUGAAUGCUAAGUGUUGGAGGGUUUCCGCCCUUCAGUGCUGCAGCUAACGCAUUAAGCAUUCCGCCUGGGGAGUACGGCCGCAAGGCUGAAACUCAAAGGAAUUGACGGGGGCCCGCACAAGCGGUGGAGCAUGUGGUUUAAUUCGAAGCUACGCGAAGAACCUUACCAGGUCUUGACAUACUAUGCAAUUCUAAGAGAUUAGACGUUCCCUUCGGGGACAUGGAUACAGGUGGUGCAUGGUGUCGUCAGCUCGUGUCGUGAGAUGUUGGGUUAAGUCCGGCAACGAGCGCAACCCUAAUAUCAGUGCCAGCAUUAGUUGGCACUCUGGUGAGACUGCCGGUGACAACCGGAGGAAGUGUG
RNAcentral lists this ribosomal RNA (1163 nucleotides) under Lactiplantibacillus pentosus. Its description in RNAcentral is "bacterial SSU rRNA". It matches the Rfam family "Bacterial small subunit ribosomal RNA", at positions 40 to 1176 of the family's 1533-position model. The record is from RNAcentral. Lineage: Bacteria; Bacillati; Bacillota; Bacilli; Lactobacillales; Lactobacillaceae.